AUUGAACGCUGGCGGCAUGCCUUACACAUGCAAGUCGAACGGCAGCACGGGAGCUUGCUCCUGGUGGCGAGUGGCGAACGGGUGAGUAAUGCAUCGGAACGUGCCCUGAAGUGGGGGAUAACGUAGCGAAAGUUACGCUAAUACCGCAUAUUCUGUGAGCAGGAAAGCAGGGGAUCUUCGGACCUUGCGCUUUUGGAGCGGCCGAUGUCGGAUUAGCUAGUUGGUGGGGUAAAGGCCCACCAAGGCGACGAUCCGUGGCGGGUCUGAGAGGAUGAUCCGCCACACUGGAACUGAGACACGGUCCAGACUCCUACGGGAGGCAGCAGUGGGGAAUUUUGGACAAUGGGCGCAAGCCUGAUCCAGCCAUGCCGCGUGAGUGAAGAAGGCC
RNAcentral lists this ribosomal RNA (388 nucleotides) under uncultured bacterium. RNAcentral describes it as "bacterial SSU rRNA". It matches the Rfam family "Bacterial small subunit ribosomal RNA", at positions 30 to 416 of the family's 1533-position model. The record is from RNAcentral.